CCAACCUGAGGACCUCCAAAAAAAGAAGUUAGGCUGUAUGAAGCCAUAAAUUAAAAGGCUCUAAGAAACAAACGGCUUUGCCGCAAGUCCCUGAUGUGGUACCCGACCUCGAGGACCUCAAUCAAAAAGAAUUUAGGCUCUAGGAAACUAAUGGUGUCAUUACAAGUCUUGAGAUUAUUUUCUAUAUUGGGAUUAUUUUCAUAUAUAAAAGGAAUCCUGUCACUUUGUAAACCCAUGCUGCUUCAGUUGCUCCACACAAAAUAUACAAAAACAUUCUCUCUUCUCUCUAACACAUUCUUUUGAUAUUAUUGCUUCUAUUUACUAUCUUCAUUAUUGUUCAUCAUCUAUUGCUUUUCAUUGAACCAAAAAGGGACUUCGUUGAUUUUAUUGCAACUGUUGGCCAUUCCCCGAUAACCUUCAAUAGCUCACAGUCGAGCUCUGAAAUCAACCUCAAGGAUCCCGAAUCGACAAGUUUGAUGUCCCGAUUGUUAACCUAUCAGUUUUAUUAUCACCUUAUCCUUAACUCUUAUUUCGUUUCUUAGUUUCACAUACAUAGCAUCAACUGCUUAACAUCUCGCAUAAAAAUAGAUCAUGUAUUUUUUGUUUCUAUUAUUCUUUAUUACCAUUUUCACGGUAAACACCUCCACACCAAGAAAUACAUGUCUAAAUAUUACUCGCCAAACAAACACAUCUGAAGCAAAUGCACCACACCAACCUCUUCCUAUGAGCUGAUAACCUAUUUGGACGACACUUGACCUGUCUAUCGAGACUGUGGGCAUGAAACACAGUGUCCCCGGGAAAAAGAGAUGUCAGUACGAAUAAUUUAUUGAGCAUUUAAGGCACAUAAAUAAGUACAUAAAAGACAUGAAAGAAAUAUUUAUUAAAUGACUCAACAUGUAAGUUUUGAUAUCUAUGUAAAUCAGGAAAUACAUAUAGUGUCAUGCAUAUGCGUAUGAAUGUAGUGUCGUGCAUAGGUACAUUUGUUAAUAACAUCAUAAAGCCUCUAAGGCAUCCCAUAAUAUCAUCUUGGCUACUAAGGGAAAAUGAUCAACGCGUACAAGCUGAUCAGGUGGUGGUGCGCAUACAAUGCC
Molecule: long non-coding RNA, 1091 nt
Filed under: Nicotiana benthamiana
Lineage: Eukaryota; Viridiplantae; Streptophyta; Magnoliopsida; Solanales; Solanaceae
Description: long non-coding RNA (NBEN_LNC036555)
Source: RNAcentral